This 808-nucleotide ribosomal RNA is filed under the name uncultured crenarchaeote. Its description in RNAcentral is "bacterial SSU rRNA". It matches the Rfam family "Archaeal small subunit ribosomal RNA", at positions 55 to 872 of the family's 1478-position model. Lineage: Archaea; Thermoproteati; Thermoproteota. The record is from RNAcentral.
GAGUCAACUCCGCAAGGGGUGGCGCACGGCUCAGUAACACGUAGUCAACCUACCCUAGGGACGGGGAUAACCUCGGGAAACUGAGGCUAAACCCCGAUAGGCUAUAGCCUCUGGAAUGAGCUAUAGCUGAAAUCUAUAUGGCCCUAGGAUGGGACUGCGGCCGAUCAGGUAGUUGGUGGGGUAAUGGCCCACCAAGCCUAUAACCGGUGCGGGCUCUGAGAGGAGGAGCCCGGAGAUGGGCACUGAGACAAGGGCCCAGGUCCUAUGGGGCGCAGCAGGCGCGAAACCUCCGCAAUGGGCGAAAGCCCGACGGGGUUAGUCCGAGUGGUCCCUGCUGAAGGGGCCUUUUGCCAGCUGUAAAAAGGCUGGCGAAUAAGGGGUGGGCAAGUUUGGUGUCAGCCGCCGCGGUAAUACCAGCACCCCGAGUGGUCGGGACGAUUAUUGGGCCUAAAGCAUCCGUAGCCGGCUUAGCAAGUCCUCCGUUAAAUCCAACGGCCUAACCGUUGGGCUGCGGAGGAUACUGCUAAGCUAGGGGGCGGGAGAGGCGAGGGGUAUUCCCAGGGUAGGGGUAAAAUCCGUUGAUCCUGGGAGGACCACCAGUGGCGAAGGCGCCUCGCUAGAACGCGCCCGACGGUGAGGGAUGAAAGCUGGGGGAGCGAACCGGAUUAGACACCCGGGUAGUCCCAGCCGUAAACGAUGUAGGCUCGAUGUUGGGUUACCCAAGUGGUAGCCCAGUGUCGCAGGGAAGCCGUUAAGCCUACCGCCUGGGGAGUACGGCCGCAAGGCUGAAACUUAAAGGAAUGGCGGG